UACAGAGGUCUCAAGCGUUGUCCGGAUUUAUUGGGCGUAAAGAGCUCGUAGGUGGUUCGGUAAGUCGGAUGUGAAAUCUCCAGGCUCAACCUGGAGGGGUCAUUCGAUACUGCCGUGACUAGAGUUCGGUAGGGGAGUGUGGAAUUCCGGGUGGAGCGGUGAAAUGCGUAGAGAUCCGGAGGAACACUAGGGGCGAAGGCGGCCGACUGGCCGAGUGCUGACGCUGAGGCGCGACGGCGUGGGGAGCAAACCGG
This 254-nucleotide ribosomal RNA is filed under the name uncultured bacterium. Its description in RNAcentral is "partial 16S ribosomal RNA". It matches the Rfam family "Bacterial small subunit ribosomal RNA", at positions 524 to 776 of the family's 1533-position model. The record is from RNAcentral.